CACCCACCAAGCUUGGCUUGAUGUUGGACGGAGCGAGGCCGCCCGUCCGAAACUCGUGUGGCGCCGACUGUCGAGCUCCAGCGUAGCAAGCAAACGUUCGCUGGGUGGCUCGACCGCCGGUGGCCGCGACCUCAACCACAUACCA
Molecule: unclassified non-coding RNA, 145 nt
Filed under: uncultured Ascomycota
Lineage: Eukaryota; Fungi; Ascomycota
Description: sequence contains ITS2
Source: RNAcentral